RNAcentral lists this ribosomal RNA (509 nucleotides) under uncultured bacterium. RNAcentral's name for it is "bacterial SSU rRNA". It matches the Rfam family "Bacterial small subunit ribosomal RNA", at positions 30 to 526 of the family's 1533-position model. The record is from RNAcentral.
AUUGAACGCUGGCGGAAUGCUUUACACAUGCAAGUCGAACGGCAGCACGGGGCAACCUGGUGGCGAGUGGCGAACGGGUGAGUAAUACAUCGGAACGUGCCCAAUCGUGGGGGAUAACGUAGCGAAAGUUACGCUAAUACCGCAUACGAUCUACGGAUGAAAGCGGGGGAUCGCAAGACCUCGCGCGAAUGGAGCGGCCGAUGUCAGAUUAGGUAGUUGGUGGGGUAAAGGCUCACCAAGCCAACGAUCUGUAGCUGGUCUGAGAGGACGACCAGCCACACUGGAACUGAGACACGGUCCAGACUCCUACGGGAGGCAGCAGUGGGGAAUUUUGGACAAUGGGCGCAAGCCUGAUCCAGCCAUUCCGCGUGCAGGAUGAAGGCCUUCGGUUGUAAACUGCUUUGUACGGUACGAAACGGUACUGCCCUAAUACCGGUAGGCGUAAUAGACGGUACCGUAACGAAUAAAGACAACCGGCUAACUACCGUAGCCAGCAGCCGCGUAAGUAU